GAUGAAGAACGCAGCGAAAUGCGAUAAGUAAUGUGAAUUGCAGAAUUCAGUGAAUCAUCGAAUCUUUGAACGCACAUUGCGCCCGCCAGUAUUCUGGCGGGCAUGCCUGUUCGAGCGUCAUUUCAACCAUCAAGCCCUAGGCUUGCGUUGGAGCCCUGCGGCUGCCGCAGGCUCCCAAAUCCAGUGGCGGGCUCGUCGUCGUACCGAGUGCAGUAAACAUCCUCGCUCAGGGAACGUGACGGGUUCUUGCCGUGAAACCCCCCACAUAUCAAGGUUGACCUCGGAUCAGGUAGGAAUACCCGCUGAACUUAAGCAUAUCAAUAAGCGGAGGA
RNAcentral lists this unclassified non-coding RNA (332 nucleotides) under soil metagenome. RNAcentral describes it as "partial contains 5.8S ribosomal RNA, internal transcribed spacer 2, and large subunit ribosomal RNA". The stretch from base 1 to 120 matches the Rfam family "5.8S ribosomal RNA", at positions 35 to 154 of the family's 154-position model. The record is from RNAcentral.